GACGAACGCUGGCGGCGUGCUUAACACAUGCAAGUCGAACGGAAAGGCCCUGCUUUUGUGGGGUGCUCGAGUGGCGAACGGGUGAGUAACACGUGAGUAACCUGCCCUUGACUUUGGGAUAACUUCAGGAAACUGGGGCUACUACCGGAUAGGAGCUCCUGCUGCAUGGUGGGGGUUGGAAAGUUUCGGCGGUUGGGGAUGGACUCGCGGCUUAUCAGCUUGUUGGUGGGGUAGUGGCUUACCAAGGCUUUGACGGGUAGCCGGCCUGAGAGGGUGACCGGCCACAUUGGGAAUGAGAUACGGCCAAGACUCCUACGGGAGGCAGCAGUGGGGAAUAUUGCACAAUGGGCGGAAGCCUGAUGCAGCAACGCCGCGUGCGGGAUGACGGCCUUAGGGUUGUAAACCGCUUUCGCCUGUGACGAAGCGUGAGUGACGGUAAUGGGUAAAGAAGCACCGGCUAACUACGUG
This 468-nucleotide ribosomal RNA is filed under the name uncultured bacterium. Its description in RNAcentral is "partial 16S ribosomal RNA". It matches the Rfam family "Bacterial small subunit ribosomal RNA", at positions 28 to 507 of the family's 1533-position model. The record is from RNAcentral.